RNAcentral lists this transfer RNA (63 nucleotides) under Thuridilla gracilis. RNAcentral's name for it is "tRNA-Pro". Lineage: Eukaryota; Metazoa; Mollusca; Gastropoda; Plakobranchidae. The record is from RNAcentral.
UCAAAAACAGUUCUUGAGAAUACUAACUUUGGGAGUUAGCGGAUGACGGAGGUCAUUUUUGAA